AGCCUACGGGGGGCAGCAGUGGGGAAUAUUGGGCAAUGGGCGCAAGCCUGACCCAGCGACGCCGCGUGAGGGAAGACGGUUUUCGGAUUGUAAACCUCUGUCUUUGGGGACGAAAUGAGACGGUACCCAAGGAGGAAGCUCCGGCUAACUACGUGCCAGCAGCCGCGGUAAUACGUAGGGAGCAAGCGUUGUCCGGAAUUACUGGGUGUAAAGGGAGCGUAGGCGGGAUAGUAAGUUGAUUGUUAAAACUAUCGGCUCAACUGAUAGAUGCGAUCAAAACUGCAAUUCUUGAGUGAAGUAGAGGC
RNAcentral lists this ribosomal RNA (305 nucleotides) under uncultured bacterium. RNAcentral's name for it is "bacterial SSU rRNA". It matches the Rfam family "Bacterial small subunit ribosomal RNA", at positions 335 to 658 of the family's 1533-position model. The record is from RNAcentral.